GAUGGACGCUGGCGGCGUGCCUAAUACAUGCAAGUCGAGCGAACGGACGAGAAGCUUGCUUCUCUGAUGUUAGCGGCGGACGGGUGGGUAACACGUGGAUAACCUACCUAUAAGACUGGGAUAACUUCGGGAAACCGGAGCUAAUACCGGAUGAUAUUUUGAACCGCAUGGUUCAAAAGUGAAAGACGGUCUUGCUGUCACUUAUAGAUGGAUCCGCGCUGCAUUAGCUAGUUGGUAAGGUAACGGCUUACCAAGGCAACGAUGCAUAGCCGACCUGAGAGGGUGAUCGGCCACACUGGAACUGAGACACGGUCCAGACUCCUACGGGAGGCAGCAGUAGGGAAUCUUCCGCAAUGGGCGAAAGCCUGACGGAGCAACGCCGCGUGAGUGAUGAAGGUCUUCGGAUCGUAAAACUCUGUUAUUAGGGAAGAACAUAUGUGUAAGUAACUGUGCACAUCUUGACGGUACCUAAUCAGAAAGCCACGGCUAACUACGUG
RNAcentral lists this ribosomal RNA (497 nucleotides) under uncultured bacterium. Its description in RNAcentral is "partial 16S ribosomal RNA". It matches the Rfam family "Bacterial small subunit ribosomal RNA", at positions 28 to 507 of the family's 1533-position model. The record is from RNAcentral.